UCCUACGGGAGGCAGCAGUGGGGAAUAUUGCACAAUGGGGGAAACCCUGAUGCAGCGACGCCGCGUGGAGGAAGAAGGUCUUCGGAUUGUAAACUCCUGUUGUUGGGGAAGAUAAUGACGGUACCCAACAAGGAAGUGACGGCUAACUACGUGCCAGCAGCCGCGGUAAAACGUAGGUCACAAGCGUUGUCCGGAAUUACUGGGUGUAAAGGGAGCGCAGGCGGGAAGACAAGUUGGAAGUGAAAUCCAUGGGCUUAACCCAUGAACUGCUUUCAAAACUGUUUUUCUUGAGUAGUGCAGAGGUAGGCGGAAUUCCCGGUGUAGCGGUGGAAUGCGUAGAUAUCGGGAGGAACACCAGUGGCGAAGGCGGCCUACUGGGCACCAACUGACGCUGAGGCUCGAAAGUGUGGGUAGCAAACAGGAUUAGAUACCCUGGUAGUCCACACCGUAAACGAUGAUUACUAGGUGUUGGAGGAUUGACCCCUUCAGUGCCGCAGUUAACACAAUAAGUAAUCCACCA
This 520-nucleotide ribosomal RNA is filed under the name uncultured bacterium. RNAcentral's name for it is "bacterial SSU rRNA". It matches the Rfam family "Bacterial small subunit ribosomal RNA", at positions 337 to 873 of the family's 1533-position model. The record is from RNAcentral.